UACGGGGGGAGCAAGCGUUGUUCGGAUUUACUGGGCGUAAAGGGCGCGUAGGCGGUCAGCACAAGUCAGUUGUGAAAUCUCCGGGCUUAACUCGGAAAGGUCAACUGAUACUGUGCGACUAGAGUGCGGAAGGGGCAACUGGAAUUCUCGGUGUAGCGGUGAAAUGCGUAGAUAUCGAGAGGAACACCUGCGGCGAAGGCGGGUUGCUGGGCCGACACUGACGCUGAUGCGCGAAAGCGUGGGGAGCAAACAGG
Molecule: ribosomal RNA, 254 nt
Filed under: uncultured bacterium
Lineage: Bacteria
Description: partial 16S ribosomal RNA
Rfam family: Bacterial small subunit ribosomal RNA
Source: RNAcentral